ACGGAAGGCAGCAGUGGGGAAUAUUGGACAAUGGGCGAAAGCCUGAUCCAGCGACGCCGCGUGAGUGAAGAAGUAUUUCGGUAUGUAAAGCUCUAUCAGCAGGGAAGAUAAUGACGGUACCUGACUAAGAAGCCCCGGCUAACUACGUGCCAGCAGCCGCGGUAAUACGUAGGGGGCAAGCGUUAUCCGGAUUUACUGGGUGUAGAGGGAGCGUAGACGGUAUGGCAAGUCUGAUGUGAAAACCCAGGGCUCAACCCUGGGACUGCAUUGGAAACUGUCAAACUAGAGUGCAGGAGAGGUAAGUGGAAUUCCUAGUGUAGCGGUGAAAUGCAUAGAUAUUAGGAGGAACACCAGUGGCGAAGGCGGCUUACUGGACUGUAACUGACGUUGAGGCUCGAAAGCGUGGGGAGCAAACAGGAUUAGAUACCCUGGUA
This 434-nucleotide ribosomal RNA is filed under the name uncultured Lachnospiraceae bacterium. RNAcentral's name for it is "partial 16S ribosomal RNA". It matches the Rfam family "Bacterial small subunit ribosomal RNA", at positions 341 to 792 of the family's 1533-position model. The record is from RNAcentral. Lineage: Bacteria; Bacillati; Bacillota; Clostridia; Lachnospirales; Lachnospiraceae.